AAGUACCAAUCAUUUUGAGGAGUGGUUCCUAUUUUGCACUUUUCUUGAAUAUCCCAGGGCUCGAGCUUAUUAAGAUCCACAUCACGAAUUACAUCCAAGUCGAUCUUCUCAUAGGAGACCUUCUUCUUCAAGUAAUAAUGCAAAAGCUCUUCUUCUGUGGGAUGAAAUCGAAAGCCAGGAGGCACCUGCGAUUGCCCAUUUACGGAUAUACUCAUGUUUUCUGGCAUU
Molecule: unclassified non-coding RNA, 228 nt
Filed under: Hevea brasiliensis (rubber tree)
Lineage: Eukaryota; Viridiplantae; Streptophyta; Magnoliopsida; Malpighiales; Euphorbiaceae
Source: RNAcentral